GGUGCCAUAGCUCAGUUGGUAGAGCAAAGGACUGAAAAUCCUUGUGUCCCCGGUUCGAUUCCUGGUGGCACCACCG
This 76-nucleotide transfer RNA is filed under the name Phocaeicola plebeius. Its description in RNAcentral is "Bacteroides plebeius tRNA-Phe". It matches the Rfam family "tRNA". From Rfam's summary of the family: Transfer RNA (tRNA) molecules are approximately 80 nucleotides in length. Their secondary structure includes four short double-helical elements and three loops (D, anti-codon, and T loops). Lineage: Bacteria; Pseudomonadati; Bacteroidota; Bacteroidia; Bacteroidales; Bacteroidaceae. The record is from RNAcentral. RNAcentral also lists the same sequence under 2 other names.